RNAcentral lists this ribosomal RNA (725 nucleotides) under phytoplankton environmental sample. RNAcentral's name for it is "SSU rRNA". It matches the Rfam family "Eukaryotic small subunit ribosomal RNA", at positions 558 to 1295 of the family's 1831-position model. The record is from RNAcentral.
AGUCUGGUGCCAGCAGCCGCGGUAAUUCCAGCUCUAAUAGCGUAUAUUAAAGUUGUUGCAGUUAAAAAGCUCGUAGUCGGAUGUCGGGCUCGGGCAAGCUGUCGGCCUUUGGUCGGACGGCAGGCUCGGGUCUUUCUGCCUGAGGAACCCGGUUGCUUUAACGAGCUGCCGGUGGACGCAGGUCGUUUACUUUGAAAAAUUAGAGUGUUCAAAGCAGGCUAGCGCUUGAAUACAUUAGCAUGGAAUAAUGGAAUAGGACUUUGGUGCUAUUUUGUUGGUUUAUGGGACCGAAGUAAUGAUUAACAGGGACAGUUGGGGCCGUUUAUAUUUCGUUGUCAGAGGUGAAAUUCUUGGAUUUACGAAAGAUAAACUUCUGCGAAAGCAUUCGGCAAGGAUGUUUUCAUUGAUCAAGAACGAAAGUUAGGGGAUCGAAGACGAUCAGAUACCGUCGUAGUCUUAACCAUAAACUAUGCCGACUAGGGAUCAGUGGAUGUCAAUUUGCGACUCCAUUGGCACCUUGUGAGAAAUCAAAGUUUUUGGGUUCCGGGGGGAGUAUGGUCGCAAGGCUGAAACUUAAAGGAAUUGACGGAAGGGCACCACCAGGAGUGGAGCCUGCGGCUUAAUUUGACUCAACACGGGGAAACUUACCAGGUCCAGACAUAGUAAGGAUUGACAGAUUGAAAGCUCUUUCUUGAUUCUAUGGGUGGUGGUGCAUGGCCGUUCUU